Long non-coding RNA from Felis catus (domestic cat), 1686 nucleotides. RefSeq lists it as uncharacterized. NCBI's taxonomy places the organism in Eukaryota, Metazoa, Chordata, Mammalia, Carnivora, Felidae. The transcript is spliced from 3 exons. The record is from RefSeq and is a predicted model, not a curated record.
AUAACCAAUGAUGGAUGAGUUGGGACUCACGAGACCUUGACACCAUAAGUCACAAAGGCAAGAUUCUCUUUCUGAGAAUUAAAAAGAAAAUUAUGAAUGCAUAGAAAUAUUUUAAAUAAGAGAAAGCCUGAAAAAUGAGGAACGUUGCUAUUUCAUGACAUUCUCCAGAUGAAAAGUGUGAAGCAGUUUAUGGCUAAACAUUUUUAUUUGUGGUCCAUUUUUUUCCCUUCUCUUUCUUUCUUCCUUUCUCUCCCUCUGCUUCCUCUCUACUUCCUUCUUCUCCUUUUUCUUCCUUCUUUUUGUUAGACAUUUCAGACUUGUCAAAGAAGCAAUGGGCCUACCAAGUUGAGCAAGACAACUUCAAUUAUGAAAAUUAUGAUUGGAGAAGUUUUAGCCACCUAUCUCUUCCUCUCCCAUAAGUUACCUGUGGUCAGCCACGGUCGGGAGGUGGAUUAUGCCUGUGAUAACAGAAGGUCAAUGGUAGCCUGACGCUACCCGUCCUUCACCUCACUUCAUCUCAUCUCAUUUUAUCAUCCCAUGUCACCACAAGAAAAAGGGCACCUGGGGAGACCUGACGACUAGCUGGCCUAGGCUGUUUCUUAAUGGCUUCCUGAGGCUGCAAUGAUGCCUGCUUCCCAUACUGCAAGUGCAUUAAAGGUAGGGAUGGGGCCACUCAUGAAGUUAUGGGCUGAGUUGGGUACCGUCCAUAUUCAACUGUUGAAAUCCCAACCCCUAGCUCUCCUCAGAAUGUAAUGAUAUCAGAGGUUAAAUUUGAAUGAGGCCGUUAAGGUGGGGCCCUCAUCCAAUGAGCAGCAUUCUUAUGAGAAGGAGAAACUAGGACACAGGUGGAGAGAUACUAGAGGUGCCUGUGAACAGAGGAUCGACCAUGUGAAGGGGGAUCCAGAGGGUAGCCAUGUUCAAGUCAACCAGAGAGGUCUCAGAGGAGACCAACUCUGUAGGCACCUUGACCUUGGACUAUCAGCUUCUUAACUGUGAGAAAAUAAAUAUCUGUUGUUUAAGCCACCCAGUCUGUGGUAUUUUAUUAUGGCCUCCAAGCAUACCAGUAUGUUUGGAUUCAUUAAUUCACUCAACAACUACUUGUUGAACAUUUACGAUGUGCCACAUACGGUUUAGAUGGCGGCACGUACAGAGCUGAGGAAGAAUCUGGGUCCUUGCUGUCAGAGAGUUUCUGUUUCGGUGGGAGGGGAAGGUCACUAAAAAGGUAAAGUAAUAAGCUGAUUUUAGAGAAUGGUAAGUGUUAUGAAGGAGACCCAACAGGAUUGUGUAAUGGAGAAUAUAGGGGAGCGGCUUUGGACAGGGCAUUCAGAAGAAGGCCUUUCGGGAGGUAAUGUUAGAGCUGAGACCUGAAAAUAAGAUUCAAGCCAUGCAAAGACAUGGGAAGGAGAGUGCGCAAAAGUCCUUGGGCAGGAGCACAUUGAUUGGUGUCUUUGAGGAACAGAGAGAAAGCCAGUGUGAGUGAGACAAAAGUGAUCAUUUAUGUCAAUUGGAAUUUAUGUCAAUUGGAUCAUUUAAGUCAAAUGGGCCGCAGUGGCUAGGGACACAGCUCUGCCCUCCUCAAAGUUGGCGAGGGUGGUCGAAGGUCACAAAUUGAAGGAAGCAUAUAUAGAGGUGAGAGACACAGAGCAGAAUCCUGACAAAGGAAUCUGGGCUCCACCUACAUGGUUG